UAAACCAGCCAACAGUGCGCCAGGAGGAUAAGCCAGUUUGUGAUUGGUCCCCACACAUUUGUAAUGGUAGCAGGAUAGAAAAAAGUACAGGUUUCCAGCCUGAGCUGCAGGGCGAAAUCAAAUCCUCGGCAGAUCGGGCUGGGUUUACCCAGUCUAAGCAUUUUAAGCA
Molecule: long non-coding RNA, 169 nt
Organism: Etheostoma cragini (Arkansas darter)
Lineage: Eukaryota; Metazoa; Chordata; Actinopteri; Perciformes; Percidae
Exons: 3
Source: RefSeq, a predicted model, not a curated record